RNAcentral lists this ribosomal RNA (252 nucleotides) under uncultured bacterium. RNAcentral's name for it is "partial 16S ribosomal RNA". It matches the Rfam family "Bacterial small subunit ribosomal RNA", at positions 524 to 775 of the family's 1533-position model. The record is from RNAcentral.
UACAGAGGUGCCAAGCGUUGUUCGGAUUUAUUGGGCGUAAAGGGUGCGUAGGUGGUCAUGCAAGUCGAAUGUGAAAUACCGGAGCCUAACUCCGGAACGGCAUUCGAAACUGCAGGGCUCGAGGUCUGGAGAGGUGACUGGAAUUCUCGGUGUAGCAGUGAAAUGCGUAGAUAUCGAGAGGAACACCAGAGGCGAAAGCGAGUCACUGGACGGAACCUGACACUGAUGCACGAAAGCUAGGGGAGCAAACGG